This 253-nucleotide ribosomal RNA is filed under the name uncultured bacterium. Its description in RNAcentral is "partial 16S ribosomal RNA". It matches the Rfam family "Bacterial small subunit ribosomal RNA", at positions 524 to 776 of the family's 1533-position model. The record is from RNAcentral.
UACGUAGGCAGCGAGCGUUGUUCGGAGUUACUGGGCGUAAAGAGUGCGUAGGCGGUUUUCUAAGUUUGGUGUGAAAUCUCCCGGCUUAACUGGGAGGGUGCGCCGAAGACUGGAAGGCUUGAGUAUGGGAGAGGUAAGCGGAAUUCCUGGUGUAGCGGUGAAAUGCGUAGAUAUCAGGAGGAACACCGGUGGCGAAGGCGGCCCACUGGAUCGGUACUGACGCUGAGGUGCGAAAGCGUGGGGAGCAAACAGG